Molecule: ribosomal RNA, 223 nt
Filed under: uncultured bacterium
Lineage: Bacteria
Description: partial 16S ribosomal RNA
Rfam family: Bacterial small subunit ribosomal RNA
Source: RNAcentral
GAUCCUGGCUCAGGACGAACGCUGGCGGCGUGCCUAAUACAUGCAAGUAGAACGCUGAAGAGAGGAGCUUGCUCUUCUUGGAUGAGUUGCGAACGGGUGAGUAACGCGUAGGUAACCUGCCUGGUAGCGGGGGAUAACUAUUGGAAACGAUAGCUAAUACCGCAUAAAAUGGAUUAUCGCAUGAUAAUCCAUUGAAAGGUGCAAAUGCAUCACUACCAGAUGG